ACUGCAUUUGAAACUGGGCAGGCUAGAGUCUCGUAGAGGGGGGUAGAAUCCAGGUGUAGCGGUGAAAUGCGUAGAGAUCUGGAGGAAUACCGGUGGCGAAGGCGGCCCCCUGGACGAAGACUGACGCUCAGGUACGAAAGCGUGGGGAGCAAACGGAUUAGAUACCCGGGUAGUCCACGCUGUAAACGAUGUCGAUUUGAAGGUUGUGGCCUUGAGCCGUGCUUCGGAGCUAACGCGUUAAAUCGACCGCCUGGGGAGUACGGCCGCAAGGUUAAAACUCAAAUGAAUUGACGGGGGCCCGCACAAGCGGUGGAGCAUGUGGUUUAAUUCGAUGCAACGCGAAGAACCUUACCUACUCUUGACAUCCAGAGAACUUGGCAGAGAUGCCUUGGUGCCUUCGGGAGCUCUGAGACAGGUGCUGCAUGGCUGUCGUCAGCUCGUGUUGUGAAAUGUUGGGUUAAGUCCCGCAACGAGCGCAACCCUUAUCCUUUGUUGCCAGCGAUUCGGUCGGGAACUCAAAGGAGACUGCCGGUGAUAAACCGGAGGAA
Molecule: ribosomal RNA, 548 nt
Filed under: uncultured bacterium
Lineage: Bacteria
Description: bacterial SSU rRNA
Rfam family: Bacterial small subunit ribosomal RNA
Source: RNAcentral